GAUGAACGCUGGCGGCGUGCCUAAUACAUGCAAGUCGAGCGAACGGACGAGAAGCUUGCUUUUCUGAUGUUAGCGGCGGACGGGUAAGUAACACGUGGAUAACCUACCUAUAAGACUGGGAUAACUUCGGGAAACCGGAGCUAAUACCGGAUAAUAUUUUGAACCGCAUGGUUCAAAAGUGAAAGACGGUCUUGCUGUCACUUAUAGAUGGAUCCGCGCUGCAUUAGCUAGUUGGUAAGGUAACGGCUUACCAAGGCAACGAUGCAUAGCCGACCUGAGAGGGUGAUCGGCCACACUGGAACUGAGACACGGUCCAGACUCCUACGGGAGGCAGCAGUAGGGAAUCUUCCGCAAUGGGCGAAAGCCUGACGGAGCAACGCCGCGUGAGUGAUGAAGGUCUUCGGAUCGUAAAACUCUGUUAUUAGGGAAGAACAUAUGUGUAAGUAACUGUGCACAUCUUGACGGUACCUAAUCAGAAAGCCACGGCUAACUACGUG
RNAcentral lists this ribosomal RNA (497 nucleotides) under uncultured bacterium. Its description in RNAcentral is "partial 16S ribosomal RNA". It matches the Rfam family "Bacterial small subunit ribosomal RNA", at positions 28 to 507 of the family's 1533-position model. The record is from RNAcentral.